GUGCUUGCUUCAGCAGCACAUAUACUAAAAUUGGAAUGAUAUGGAGAAGAUUAGCAUGGCCCCUGCACAAGGAUGACAUGCAAAUUCAUGAAGCAUUCCAUAUUUUU
Nycticebus coucang (slow loris) is the source of this 107-nucleotide small nuclear RNA. The record is from RefSeq and is a predicted model, not a curated record. Lineage: Eukaryota; Metazoa; Chordata; Mammalia; Primates; Lorisidae.